ACGUAGGGUGCGAGCGUUGUCCGGAAUUAUUGGGCGUAAAGGGCUUGUAGGCGGUUUGUCGCGUCUGCCGUGAAAUCCUCUGGCUUAACUGGGGGCGUGCGGUGGGUACGGGCAGACUUGAGUGCGGUAGGGGAGACUGGAACUCCUGGUGUAGCGGUGGAAUGCGCAGAUAUCAGGAAGAACACCGGUGGCGAAGGCGGGUCUCUGGGCCGUUACUGACGCUGAGGAGCGAAAGCGUGGGGAGCGAACAG
This 251-nucleotide ribosomal RNA is filed under the name uncultured bacterium. RNAcentral describes it as "partial 16S ribosomal RNA". It matches the Rfam family "Bacterial small subunit ribosomal RNA", at positions 525 to 775 of the family's 1533-position model. The record is from RNAcentral.